GCCGCCGUGGCGGAAUGGUAGACGCUGUGGAUUUAAAAUCCAUUGACCUUUGGUCGUGCGGGUUCGAGUCCCGCCGGCGGUA
RNAcentral lists this transfer RNA (82 nucleotides) under Roseibacillus ishigakijimensis. It matches the Rfam family "tRNA". From Rfam's summary of the family: Transfer RNA (tRNA) molecules are approximately 80 nucleotides in length. The record is from Rfam by way of RNAcentral. RNAcentral also lists the same sequence under 1 other name. Lineage: Bacteria; Pseudomonadati; Verrucomicrobiota; Verrucomicrobiia; Verrucomicrobiales; Verrucomicrobiaceae.